This 423-nucleotide ribosomal RNA is filed under the name Salmonella enterica subsp. enterica. RNAcentral describes it as "partial 23S ribosomal RNA". It matches the Rfam family "Bacterial large subunit ribosomal RNA", at positions 831 to 1251 of the family's 2925-position model. The record is from RNAcentral. Lineage: Bacteria; Pseudomonadati; Pseudomonadota; Gammaproteobacteria; Enterobacterales; Enterobacteriaceae.
AAUCAAACCGGGAGAUAGCUGGUUCUCCCCGAAAGCUAUUUAGGUAGCGCCUCGUGAAUUCAUCUCCGGGGGUAGAGCACUGUUUCGGCUAGGGGGCCAUCCCGGCUUACCAACCCGAUGCAAACUGCGAAUACCGGAGAAUGUUAUCACGGGAGACACACGGCGGGUGCUAACGUCCGUCGUGAAGAGGGAAACAACCCAGACCGCCAGCUAAGGUCCCAAAGUCAUGGUUAAGUGGGAAACGAUGUGGGAAGGCCCAGACAGCCAGGAUGUUGGCUUAGAAGCAGCCAUCAUUUAAAGAAAGCGUAAUAGCUCACUGGUCGAGUCGGCCUGCGCGGAAGAUGUAACGGGGCUAAACCAUGCACCGAAGCUGCGGCAGCGACGCUUAUGCGUUGUUGGGUAGGGGAGCGUUCUGUAAGCCUG